CCCGGCACAAGCGGUGGAGCAUGUGGUUAAUUCGAAGAUACGCGAAGAACCUUACCCAGGCUUGACAUGGUACGAACCUUGUAGAAAUAUGAGGGUGCUCUUCGGAGAGCGUACACACAGGUGCUGCACGGCUGUCGUCAGCUCGUGUCGUGAGAUGUUGGGUUAAGUCCCGCAACGAGCGCAACCCUUGCCAUUAGUUGCUACGAAAGGGCACUCUAAUGGGACUGCCGGUGACAAACCGGAGGAAGGUGGGGAUGACGUCAAGUCCUCAUGGCCCUUAUAGGUGGGGCUACACACGUCAUACAAUGGCCGGUACAGAGGGUAGCCAACCCGCGAGGGGGAGCCAAUCCCACAAAGCCGGUCGUAGUCCGGAUCGCAGUCUGCAACUCGACUGCGUGAAGUCGGAAUCGCUAGUAAUCGCGGAUCAGCAUGUCGCGGUGAAUACGUUCCCGGGUCUU
This 458-nucleotide ribosomal RNA is filed under the name uncultured Allobrachymonas sp. RNAcentral describes it as "bacterial SSU rRNA". It matches the Rfam family "Bacterial small subunit ribosomal RNA", at positions 920 to 1382 of the family's 1533-position model. Lineage: Bacteria; Pseudomonadati; Pseudomonadota; Betaproteobacteria; Burkholderiales; Comamonadaceae. The record is from RNAcentral.